This 274-nucleotide ribosomal RNA is filed under the name uncultured bacterium. Its description in RNAcentral is "partial 16S ribosomal RNA". It matches the Rfam family "Bacterial small subunit ribosomal RNA", at positions 524 to 796 of the family's 1533-position model. The record is from RNAcentral.
UACGUAGGGGGCGAGCGUUGUCCGGAUUCAUUGGGCGUAAAGAGCUCGUAGGCGGCUUGGCAAGUCGGGCGUGAAAUCCCCGAGCUUAACUCGGGACUGUCGUUCGAUACUGCUAUGGCUUGAGUCUGGUAGGGGAGCAUGGAAUUCCUGGUGUAGCGGUGAAAUGCGCAGAUAUCAGGAGGAACACCGGUGGCGAAGGCGGUGCUCUGGGCCAGUACUGACGCUGAGGAGCGAAAGCGUGGGGAGCGAACAGGAUUAGAUACCCUCGUAGUCC